Molecule: non-coding RNA, 135 nt
Organism: Triticum aestivum (bread wheat)
Lineage: Eukaryota; Viridiplantae; Streptophyta; Magnoliopsida; Poales; Poaceae
Source: Rfam
AACGUACUCUCUCCGUCCAAAAAUACUCGUCAUCAAAAUAGACGAAAAGAAAUGUAUCUAGAACUAAAAUACAUGUAGAUACAUCCCCUUUUAUUCAUUUUGAUGACAAGUAUUUCCGGACGGAAGGAGUACUAU